CCUGGCGGCAAUAGCGAGCGGGUACCACCUGAUCCCAUUCCGAACUCAGAAGUGAAAACGCUCAGCGCUGAUGAUAGUGCGGGGUCUCCCCGUGUGAAAGUAAGACACCGCCAGGC
RNAcentral lists this ribosomal RNA (116 nucleotides) under Acidiferrobacteraceae bacterium. Lineage: Bacteria; Pseudomonadati; Pseudomonadota; Gammaproteobacteria; Acidiferrobacterales; Acidiferrobacteraceae. The record is from RNAcentral.